RNAcentral lists this long non-coding RNA (208 nucleotides) under Elaeis guineensis (African oil palm). Its description in RNAcentral is "long non-coding RNA (EGUI_LNC013769)". The record is from RNAcentral. Lineage: Eukaryota; Viridiplantae; Streptophyta; Magnoliopsida; Arecales; Arecaceae.
GGUUUGAGAAGUUCUGGAUCUUUUAUCCAAGAUUUUGGAACUUGAUUUAGGAGGUGUGGAGGAUGCCGAUCCGUAGGAUGCGAGGUAUAAGAUGACUCACAGAUUGGAGCUAGCCAGAUGCAGACUCCUCAUUUGGAAUCGCUUGGAGGUGGACGACAUCUUCUGAUGGAUUGAGCAGGUCGAGGCUGAUAUUGAGGAGCUGUAGUUG